This 447-nucleotide ribosomal RNA is filed under the name uncultured bacterium. RNAcentral describes it as "partial 16S ribosomal RNA". It matches the Rfam family "Bacterial small subunit ribosomal RNA", at positions 29 to 523 of the family's 1533-position model. The record is from RNAcentral.
AACGAACGCUGGCGGCAGGCUUAACACAUGCAAGUCGAGCGCCCCGCAAGGGGAGCGGCAGACGGGUGAGUAACGCGUGGGAAUCUACCGUGCCCUACGGAAUAGCUCCGGGAAACUGGAAUUAAUACCGUAUACGCCCUACGGGGGAAAGAUUUAUCGGGGUAUGAUGAGCCCGCGUUGGAUUAGCUAGUUGGUGGGGUAAAGGCCUACCAAGGCGACGAUCCAUAGCUGGUCUGAGAGGAUGAUCAGCCACAUUGUGACGGAGACACGGCCCAAACUCCUACGGGAGGCAGCAGUGGGGAAUAUUGGACAAUGGGCGCAAGCCUAAUCCAGCCAUGCCGCGUGAGUGAUGAAGGUCUUAGGAUUGUAAAGCUCUUUCACCGGUGAAGAUAAUGACGGUAACCGGAGAAGAAGCCCCGGCUAACUUCGUGCCAGCCGCCGCAGUAA